RNAcentral lists this ribosomal RNA (466 nucleotides) under uncultured Klebsiella sp. RNAcentral describes it as "bacterial SSU rRNA". It matches the Rfam family "Bacterial small subunit ribosomal RNA", at positions 338 to 795 of the family's 1533-position model. The record is from RNAcentral. Lineage: Bacteria; Pseudomonadati; Pseudomonadota; Gammaproteobacteria; Enterobacterales; Enterobacteriaceae.
CCUACGGGGGGCUGCAGUGGGGAAUAUUGCACAAUGGGCGCAAGCCUGAUGCAGCCAUGCCGCGUGUGUGAAGAAGGCCUUCGGGUUGUAAAGCACUUUCAGCGGGGAGGAAGGCGUUAAGGUUAAUAACCUUGGCGAUUGACGUUACCCGCAGAAGAAGCACCGGCUAACUCCGUGCCAGCAGCCGCGGUAAUACGGUAGGGUGCAAGCGUUAAUCGGAAUUACUGGGCGUAAAGCGCACGCAGGCGGUCUGUCAAGUCGGAUGUGAAAUCCCCGGGCUCAACCUGGGAACGGCAUUCGAAACUGGCAGGCUAGAGUCUUGUAGAGGGGGGUAGAAUUCCAGGUGUAGCGGUGAAAUGCGUAGAGAUCUGGAGGAAUACCGGUGGCGAAGGCGGCCCCCUGGACAAAGACUGACGCUCAGGUGCGAAAGCGUGGGGAGCAAACAGGAUUAGAUACCCUAGUAGUC